Molecule: ribosomal RNA, 497 nt
Filed under: uncultured bacterium
Lineage: Bacteria
Description: partial 16S ribosomal RNA
Rfam family: Bacterial small subunit ribosomal RNA
Source: RNAcentral
GAUGAACGCUGGCGGCGUGCCUAAUACAUGCAAGUCGAGCGAACAGAUGAGGAGCUUGCUCCUCUGACGUUAGCGGCGGACGGGUGAGUAACGCGUGGAUAACCUACCUAUAAGACUGGGAUAACUACGGGAAACCGGAGCUAAUACCGGAUAAUAUAUUGAACCGCAUGGUUCAAUAGUGAAAGACGGUUUUGCUGUCACUUAUAGAUGGAUCCGCGCCGCAUUAGCUAGUUGGUAAGGUAACGGCUUACCAAGGCAACGAUGCGUAGCCGACCUGAGAGGGUGAUCGGCCACACUGGAACUGAGACACGGUCCAGACUCCUACGGGAGGCAGCAGUAGGGAAUCUUCCGCAAUGGGCGAAAGCCUGACGGAGCAACGCCGCGUGAGUGAUGAAGGUCUUCGGAUCGUAAAACUCUGUUAUUAGGGAAGAACAAAUGUGUAAGUAACUAUGCACGUCUUGACGGUACCUAAUCAGAAAGCCACGGCUAACUACGUG